Molecule: long non-coding RNA, 6995 nt
Organism: Mobula hypostoma (lesser devil ray)
Lineage: Eukaryota; Metazoa; Chordata; Chondrichthyes; Myliobatiformes; Myliobatidae
Exons: 3
Source: RefSeq, a predicted model, not a curated record
AGGGCAGAAGCGUGGAAGGAUUUGCAGAAUUAUUUCGCCCAAAGACACCAUGUCAGAAGCCGCCAUAAGCUACCUAUUGCGAGAGCUGAACCCAAAGCCAUCUGAAAUAAUAAUGAAAUGUACAGAUUAGAAUGUUUGAGCAGCCAGCUGCAGUGAUGAAAAGAAAAUCGACUUCCCCCCUCCACCUCGACCCUGGUUCUCAGCACCUCUGUGAAUCCUGCUGGACUUGAUUUUGGAGCCAUGAAUGACUUCUUCUCCCCUUUUGCUUCCAACUCCUAUGUACUAAUCAGAGACUACAAGUCUCCUUCCCAGGCAGACAUCUAGCUAGCACAUUGGAACAAAGUCCGGUGAUCAACAAGAAUGAAGCAGCAUAUUCCGACACUUGUCAGAUCAUGCUGGGAGACUUUAAUCAAGCAGGAUUAGAAAAAUCUCAUCCUAACUACUAUCAAUGCAUCACCUGCAAAACUAGAAGAUUUACCACACUCAUCCACUGCUACACCACCAUCAGGAAUGCCUACCGCUUCAUCCCUCACCCACGCUUUGGCAAAUUUGACCACUUGGCUGUACCUCUUCUGCUUGUAUAUACAGACUGAAGAGUGUGGUCUGGUAAAGAAGACUUUGAAAGGCUAGAUGCCAGGAAUAGAGGAUUGAAUUUGGGAUUGUUUCAAGACAAUGGAUUGGACUGUGUUCAACAAUUGUUUUAAAUAAAUAUGCUGAAGUUGUUGCUGAAUUCAUAAGGACAGGUGUGGAUGAGUGUGUACCCAACCAACAUUCCAAGUCUUCCCAAUUUGAGAUUGGGUAGCAUAAGUGACAGGGCACCAAGAUGAAGUCAAUGCAUUUUAUGUGCUCUUGAUGGGGUGAACUAUGGCACACUCAUACAUCUCUAGAUGACCCUGUGAUCUCUGUCUCUGGAGAUGAUGUCCAGGCAUCCUUCAAGAGGGUGAAUCCACCAAGGGCAUAUCUAAACAAGUAUUAACAUCUGUGCAGACCGACUGGCUGGAGUAUCUACGUACAAAGUCAAUCUCUCGUUUCUACACUCCAAAGUUCCCACUUGCUUCAAAAAGGCAACUGCUGUACUGAUGGCCAGGAAGAGCAUGGUGACCUGCCUCAGUUACUGCCAUCUGGUAGCACUUACAUCAACCAUGAUGAAGUGCUUUAGGGGUUGGUUAUGAUGCAGAUCAACUUCUGUCUCAGAGGUGACCAAGAUCCUCUGCAAUUUGUCUACAACCACAAUAGGUCAAUAGCAGAUGCAAGUUCCGCUGGUUCUUCACUCUACUCCAGACUGUAUGGACAACAGAAACUCAUAUGUCAGGCUGCUGUUUAUCAACCACAGUUCAGUGUUCAACACUAUCAUCCCACCCAAACUUAUCAUCAUCGAUCUUCAAACUCAAGCUUCUGUGCUUCCUUCUGCAACUGGAUACUUUACUUUCUCAACAGCAGACUUCAGGUAAUGAGAAUUGGUAACAUCUCCUCCUUGCCGGUCGGCGACACAGGUACAUUUCAAGGUUGCAUGUUUAGGCCCGUACUCUCUUCUCUAUACAUAAAUGGCUGUGUGGCUUUGCAUUAUCUCCAAAGUCAUCUUCAAAGUCACUGAGAACACUUCUACUGUUGGAUGAAUCACAGGUGGUGUUGAGUUGCCUUCAUGAGUGAGAUAGCAUAGCUGGUCAAGUGAUGCCAGAACAACAAUCUCUUGCUCAUUGUCCACAAAGCUAAAGAGCUGACUGCUGACUGAAGGAAGGUGAAGGAGGACGAUCAUGUAUCAGUCUACAUUGAAGGAUCAGUGAUGAAGAAAGCCAGCAGCAUUAAACUCCUGGAUGUUAGCAUAUUAGACAACCUGUCCUGGGUCCAGCACAUAGAGGCAAUCAUAAGGAAAGUUCACCAGUGCCUUUACUUCCUAAGGAGAUUUAGCAAGUGAGGCUUGUCACCGAAUACUCUAACGGACAUCUAUAGAUGUACUGUUGACAGUAUCCUGGCUGGUUGCAUUAUACUCUGGUAUGGUAAUUUGAAUGUUCAGGAAUGCAAGAAGCUGCAAAGAGAAGUGGAUUCUGCCCAAUACAUCUCUGGCAUGUUCCUCCCCACCAUUGGUAGUGUCUACAUGAGGCACAGCCUCAAGAAAGCAAUAUCCAUCAUUGAACGUCCCUACCAUCUGGGCCAUCUUUUUCAACUAUCAUCAGGCAGAAGUACAGAAGGCUGAAGUUCCACACCACUAGUUUCAAGAACAGCUUCUAUCCUUCAGUCAUUCAGUUGUUGAACCAGCCAGAAAAACCCUAAUCACCAGUACAAUUUUAACAACAUCAGUCUUAUCACCUCACACUAAAAUGGACUUCUUUUUCACUUUAAUUGUGUGCUUUUUUGGUAAAAAUUGUGUCUAAUUUAUGUUUAAUGAAUGCUUUUCUUGUAAAUGCUGCUUAUAUGAUGUUCUGCACCUUUGAUGCUGCUCCAAGAAAGUUUUUCAUUGCACUUGCGCGUAUAUAUGUACAUGUACUUAUAACAAAAAACUCAAAAUACUCCUGGAGCCAGGACUGUACCAGUGUGCAGCAUUCCCUUACAGACAUCCAGUAAACCCAAAAAAUCCCAGAAAACUUGUUGAGACGGUGGAUGGAUAGCAGGACCGUCAAAGUGGACAAAGCACUUUUUGGUGAGGCUGAGUUAGCUAUGCUUCCCGCCCUUUUAAUCAUUAUCUAGUGACUGCUGCCUGAAGGCAUAAUUACACUGUUUAUGAAGAGGUGAUCUUGUUCUGCACUGCACUCCUGACAGAGCCUUGCCUGUGAAGGUAGGGAAGGGAAAAACCUGGUAAUGUAAUGUAAUUUUCAUUUCAAUAUUCUGGUUGAUGAGUGGAAGCUGACAUUGUUACAGGCUGCUUUGCACCUGGUAUUAGGGCAUUCCCAUCCAAAUGAGCAUCAUAUAUUGUGAAUAGAGUAUUCCUGACUUGACAUCGGAAAGUCUUAUUUUUGAGUUGAUCUAAGCUCUUGAUGCAAUCUCAGACUCCCCAGUGCCAAAGUAGUUUCUGUCUACUCUAUCACCCCUCUAAAUAUAUAAUUUCCAGAAAAAUACAGUAGUCUAAUAUAGUUACUUUCAGCAUAAGCACUUUCACAUGAUUUAUCUGUUUAUUCAUUUACAUAACUUACAGUCAUUUUCAUGACUUGCACUGUACUGCAGCCACAAAACAACAAAUUUCAGUGAUAAUAAACGUGAUUCUUAUUCUGAAUCCAGAACUUUCAUCCUCAGUCUGUAACAUCUGAUAUAGCAGUAGCUGGUUCUGAAAUUUACCUCUGUUAACUUCAAAGUAACUGAAUAUUGGAAAUGAGAUAUAAUAAUCAAGCUCUAUUAUGAAUGAAUGUUUCAUGUUUGCAAAAGAAAAUAAAUUUUAAGGUGAUCAUCUGUGUGACCCCUGAGCUCAGCCAAUUUCUUGGUCAGGUGAUAAUGUGUCUUCAAAUCCAUGAACUCUGAACAUAUUUUCUAUGUGGCCAUCUCCCAAUGUCUGCUGGAAGUCUGUAAUAAUGACACUGAUUGUUGUCCCAUUAUAUACAGUAUAUCAUGGAAGACUUACUCUUUAUAUAUCACUGCUAAGUUUCAUGCUCACAUUAUCCUUAAUAAUAAACUAAUAUUUUUCCCGAUGUUAACCUAACUCCUCCAAAUUUCCAUAGUUUCCAUCAUAUAUAUUAGCAUAACAUUCUCCAUUUUCAAAUUUAAAGUAACAUUUGAUUGGGGACUUCUUCAUCAAGCAUUUUUGCUCCAUCUGUGUAACAGCCAGGAUCCUGGGUGGCCACUCAUUUUAAUUCCACUACAGGUGGAAUUACACCUAUACAGACAUACAGACAUUCCUGUCUAUGGCCUCUCCUACUGCCAAGUUAAGACUAGAUGCCAAUUAGAGGGUCAACACCUCAUAUCUGUUUUGGGGGUCUUGAACCUGAUGGUAUCAAUGUCGAUUUCCUUAACUUCUUUGUUGCUCCCUUCCACCUUAGUUUUAUUUCAUUCAUUCCUCAUUCCUUUAUUUUCCCCUCCCUCUCCCUCCCAACCUGCCCAUCACCCACACCUUCCUUUCUCUGGUUCCCCACCUUCUCCUCUGUCCUCUCCAAUCAGAUUCCAUCAUGUUCAGCCCUUUGCCUCUCCUAUCACUUUGCACCUUCCCACAUCACUCCCACUUUCUGCCUCCACCGACCUAUCUACCUUCUCCCCUCAUCUGAAUUCACCUAUCACCUCCCAACUUGUGCAGUUCCCCCUCCUACCAUCCCUUAUCCAGGUUAAAGGGUUCCUGAAGUGUUAAAGGGUUGCAGUCCGGAUGAAGGGUUUCACUGUAAAGCACUGAUUGCUCAUUUCCCUCCAUUGAUGCUGCCUUGCCUGCUGAGUUCCCCUAGCAUUUAUUGUGUGUUGGUCAAUACUUAUGCCAUUGGGUUUUAGAUGUCCCUGGUCGAAUAUAAGGUGCUGUUCUUCCAGUUUGUUUAUGGGCUUCAUCCUGGCAGUAGAAGAGGCCAAGGAUAGACAGGUCAGUGUAGGAAUGGGAAGGGGAGUUGAAAUUGUCUGCAACUGGGAUCUCAGGAUAGCCAUUGUGGACAAUGUGUAGGUGUAUGUGAAAUGGUCACUGAGUCAGCACUUAGAAUUGCCGAUGUAGAGGAGUCUAUUUGAACUCUCUGGAUUUCUUGUUUAGUAACAAAACCUUUUACGCCAAGACCUGCAAUCUUUCAGUUAGCCAGGAAAUCAGAAUUAUCCUAUUGACACAUACUUUAAGAUGUUUCCUGAGUCUUUAGAAGUUUGUGUGACCUGUCACUUACAUCAAUAUAUUAACACAGUUAAUUGUGUUCUAUAUUUGCCUCGUUUAUCCUGUCAAGCAGAUUUGGAGGCUGUCAGCAGCACUGGAACAGCUGCAUACACACAGGAUUAGUGCAGUUAUAAUUCACAGGGUGAUCCAUAGAAACCAACAAUGUGAAUAAUUUUAGCACAUCCCAGGACAGGUCAACACGGCAGCUCCAAUAACAACCAUUACCUUUUGCCCCAGAGAAAUGCCGACUACCUCACUUAUAUCCAAGCACAGCCACCAGUUACUGGCUGCAUUUUAAUUGUGAUAAGGAAAAGAUUCAGCUCUGUUGCAUGAAAGGGUAACAAAUGCUACGUUGCAAUAAUAUACAAAUUAAUCAAGAUCAUCGCCCAAAACUUACUUAACCUGAUGUGCUCUUCAAUUAGAUGGUAUCUUCCUUAAAUAAUUUAACUGACAUUGCUAUGGGAACGGAAUCAAUAAAUUUUCCAUGUUACCUCAUAUAUUUUACUGAAAUGCCAGAAGAUAAAUUCUUAUAGAUAUAUACGAUAGUUGUGGUAUCAGUUCUUGAAAGGGAGAUUUUGUUUGAAGUUAUGCUUGGCAUGCAGUUUCAACUGUUAAAGGCUACUGUGGCAUCUUUGCAAAGACAGCAGUAACUGGAUACCCUGAUCACACAUGCUCAAGGCAAAUUCUGAUGGUUUGGCAGGACUCCAGAGUAAACACUGUAGAUUUCUACAAAGAACUCCAGAGAUGUGUGAUCUGUGCCAGACUGUCAUUAGUUCUGGAUAGAUGAGAGCUUUGGGUGGUCAAGGAUGAAUUGGGCAGGAUUUGAGGUUGGACAGGUAUUGUUCAGUUUUGUUAAUUGUCCUUCUGGUAUAAGGAGAAGAUUUUCAGAAACUUUGCUGGGGAGUCAUUUGGUUAUUAAAUCACUGGUGGCAAUUGUAAAGCAACACAGAAGUAAAUGAGGUAAGUAACACACACAAAAUGCUGGAUGAACUCACAGGACAGCCAGGAUCAAUGGAAAGGAAUGCAGUUGACAUUUUGGGCUGAGAUUCUUCAUCAGGCCUGAUGAAGGUUCUCAGCCUGGAAUGUCCACUCUUUAUUCCUUGCCUGAUAUGCUGAGUUCCUCCAGAAUUUUAUGUGAGUUACUCUGAAUUUCCAACCUCUGCAGAAUCCCUUGUACUAGUAAGUGAGGAGACACUCUGUACUUGCAAAUUUAUUAUGAAUUCAUGUAAAUUUCACAAACACAGGAAAUUCCUAAUUAGGUUUUUCUUCCUAAUCCAGUAUCUCUGAAGACUUCCAAGGUGUAUCUCUGAGCCAUCAUCUCUUCCCCACCACAUUUUAUAUCUUGGCAAAAUCACCUGGAGAUGGGAUUGAAAUCUAUAGGAAAGCUGUUAGCACUCAGCUAUUCUUACCCACCGUCACUCUAAACACAUCCAUUGGCUCUGCACUGUUACACAACUGUACAAUGCCAGUUAAACAAGAAAUUUCAAUUUUAUUAUCUUCAACCCCCACACGAGUACCCCCUCUCCACGGAUUUGAUCUCCCUUUCCAGCCAUUAAUUCAGUCUCCACUACUCAAUUUGCAUUUGUGGCAUUCUAUUUGAACUGCAGUUUAAUAUCUAAUCCCAAAUCUCACACUUCCCUCUUUGAGUGAAGAAGGGCUACAUGGUAGUUUUUAUUAUGUGUGAAAUCACAAUGUGAGUAUCAGAGCCUAGUUAUCAUGAUUAUUGAUGAUGUAGAAAGAAGGGUUUGUGUUUCAAUCUUUCAAGUAAUACCAUCCGAACUUCUGGAUACAGUUACAGAGCUGUAAUUCAGUCCCCUGAGUCUAUCAAUUUGAGCUCAGGGUCAUGAAGUGCAUGAGUAUGCCACAGAAUCCGAAGAAUCCAGUACUCAAGUAGUUAACUGAUUCUGUGCAAGGCUCUGGCUGUCUGCUGUGGAUUCAAUGUUAGUGGCAUUAGGGCUGUUGAAGGACAGUUUCUGUUCAAAAGGAAAACAUUAGGGACUUUCCAUAACUCUACAGUCAAAGUGCCUGUGUGCAUCUGUCUGUGUAGGUAAUUGUGUGGGAAGGCAAAUGUUUUGCUCAGUAUACAAAGUGACCUUGAAAGGCGCAUGAGAGAAGAAAAUUGGAGACAAUAAGUGCCUACGAGUUUCUGGUUAAUGUAGUACUCUGCUAUUUCCAUAUCCAUCAUUACUUAGUAUUUGAGAAGCAGCUUGGGGCAAAAUUUAUAAUAAAUACUUCU